GAUAAGAGGCCUAAUUAAAACAAAGAUGCUGGUGCGUCGGGCCUAGGACGGGUCGGAUCCGACCCAGCUCCGGUGCCAUCAAUACGACAUAACAUGGGAAAAACCUAAAACAAAAUAGCCAUCCGUUUCACCUCAGCAGAAACGCGGCCGCUUCAACCGCUUCAGAUACAUAACCUUUCUUCCACUUCUUUCAAGAAACAAACAUGUAGGUUCUAUCCAAAAUUUAAACGACAAAAAUAUGAAACUCCAAAGAAGUAACAUCACGAUCCAGUCCUA
RNAcentral lists this long non-coding RNA (276 nucleotides) under Lathyrus oleraceus (garden pea). RNAcentral describes it as "Pisum sativum (pea) long non-coding RNA (PSAT_LNC007040)". Lineage: Eukaryota; Viridiplantae; Streptophyta; Magnoliopsida; Fabales; Fabaceae. The record is from RNAcentral.